GAUGAACGCUGGCGGCGUGCCUAAUACAUGCAAGUCGAGCGAACAGAUGAGGAGCUUGCUCCUCUGACGUUAGCGGCGGACGGGUGAGUAACACGUGGAUAACCUACCUAUAAGACUGGGAUAACUUCGGGAAACCGGAGCUAAUACCGGAUAAUAUAUUGAACCGCAUGGUUCAAUAGUGAAAGACGGUUUUGCUGUCACUUAUAGAUGGAUCCGCGCCGCAUUAGCUAGUUGGUAAGGUAACGGCUUACCAAGGCAACGAUGCGUAGCCGACCUGAGAGGGUGAUCGGCCACACUGGAACUGCGACACGGUCCAGACUCCUACGGGAGGCAGCAGUAGGGAAUCUUCCGCAAUGGGCGAAAGCCUGACGGAGCACCGCCGCGUGAGUGAUGAAGGUCUUCGGAUCGUAAAACUCUGUUAUUAGGGAAGAACAAAUGUGUAAGUAACUAUGCACGUCUUGACGGUACCUAAUCAGAAAGCCACGGCUAACUACGUG
RNAcentral lists this ribosomal RNA (497 nucleotides) under uncultured bacterium. Its description in RNAcentral is "partial 16S ribosomal RNA". It matches the Rfam family "Bacterial small subunit ribosomal RNA", at positions 28 to 507 of the family's 1533-position model. The record is from RNAcentral.